RNAcentral lists this ribosomal RNA (497 nucleotides) under uncultured bacterium. Its description in RNAcentral is "partial 16S ribosomal RNA". It matches the Rfam family "Bacterial small subunit ribosomal RNA", at positions 28 to 507 of the family's 1533-position model. The record is from RNAcentral.
GAUGAACGCUGGCGGAGGGAGGAAUACAUGCAAGUCGAGCGAACGGACGAGAAGCUUGCUUCUCUGAUGUUAGCGGCGGACGGGUGAGUAACACGUGGAUAACCUACCUAUAAGACUGGGAUAACUUCGGGAAACCGGAGCUAAUACCGGAUAAUAUUUUGAACCGCAUGGUUCAAAAGUGAAAGACGGUCUUGCUGUCACUUAUAGAUGGAUCCGCGCUGCAUUAGCUAGUUGGUAAGGUAACGGCUUACCAAGGCAACGAUGCAUAGCCGACCUGAGAGGGUGAUCGGCCACACUGGAACUGAGACACGGUCCAGACUCCUACGGGAGGCAGCAGUAGGGAAUCUUCCGCAAUGGGCGAAAGCCUGACGGAGCAACGCCGCGUGAGUGAUGAAGGUCUUCGGAUCGUAAAACUCUGUUAUUAGGGAAGAACAUAUGUGUAAGUAACUGUGCACAUCUUGACGGUACCUAAUCAGAAAGCCACGGCUAACUACGUG